Molecule: ribosomal RNA, 225 nt
Filed under: uncultured bacterium
Lineage: Bacteria
Description: partial 16S ribosomal RNA
Rfam family: Bacterial small subunit ribosomal RNA
Source: RNAcentral
AGUAACGCGUGGGUAACCUGCCUUGUACUGGGGGACAACAGCUGGAAACGACUGCUAAUACCGCAUAAGCGCACAGCUUCGCAUGAAGCAGUGUGAAAAACUCCGGUGGUACAAGAUGGACCCGCGUCUGAUUAGCUGGUUGGUGAGGUAACGGCCCACCAAGGCGACGAUCAGUAGCCGGCCUGAGAGGGUGAACGGCCACAUUGGGACUGAGACACGGCCCAA